AUCAAAAUAUGAAACAGUGGCUGUCUUUGUUAGAUAGCGAUCGAUUGGUUUCCCUUAACCCACCUCGCGUCAUAGUCCGCGUUUUUCAAAGCUUCUGCUAGCGCGGGAGUAUUUCCGUGCUGAGAGUCUCCGGGGGUGUUUGGUUAGGUAAUUCUUUGGGAUGACAUUCUUUAGAAUAGUAAUUCUUAAUUUUUGGGGUUGUUUGGUUCUACUAGAAUGAUCCUCAUAAGUGAGCGUUCUACUUCCCAUGAAUGAUUAUAUUACAAAAGAUAUGUUCCAAAUUUGAGUUUACCUCAAUACUUAAACUCAGAUUUGAGCAACGUUUUUACCACCUAAUAUAAAAGGAGAUAACGGAAAGACAUUCUCUACGGAAGCUAACAUCUCAACCCGCGGCCUCUCAAACCGCGAUAGUCUCACCGGCGACUGCAGUGGCGAUUGAAGUGAUCUGCUCUCUGGUUCGCCUGCCCUCCCACCAACGAUGUUUGCUUCAGCCAGCUGAGGACUCUACAAAUUUGGAUUUGGUGAAACUAUCAGCCGGUAUUUCAAUGGUGUUUUGGGAGCAGUUCUCAAACUGUACCCGGUAUUGUUGAAGCCUCCGAGUACCAUAACACAUGAGCGAAUAUCAGGUGACCAUAAGAGCUUUUACCCUUACUUCAAGGAUUGCAUUGGAGCCAUAGAUGGAUCGCAUUACCCUGCAUGGGUACCAAUUUCUCAACAUUGAACAUUUCGCAAUAGGAAGGGAAAUAUAUCACAAAAUAUCCUAGUAGUUUGUGAUUUUGAUAUGAAGUUCAUAUAUAUACUUUCUGGUUGGGAAAGAUCAGCAUCUGAUUUAUGAAUAUUAGAUGAUGCCAUUCACAGAGAAGGUGAGGCAAAGCUACCAGUUCCUAGAGGUAAAUUCUAUCUUGUAGAUGCAGGGUUUGCAAACUAGAAGGGGUUCUUAAGACCCUACCAUAACGGUCGAUACCACUUGAUAGAGUGGAGAAAUUUGAGUGUUUCACCUGCCUACAAGAAAGAACUGUUCAACUUGCGUCAUUCAAGAUUGCGUAACAUAAUUGAGCGAGCUUUUGGACUGUUCAAGUCAAGAUUCAAGAUUUUGAAAACCCAACCAGAGUAUCAUUUCAAGACUCAGGCUAGGAUUGUACAAGCUUGUGUUAUGAUACACAAUCAUAUCCUUACCCAAAAUAGUGUUCAAGAAUAAGAGGAAUGGCUUGAACAGGAGAAUGCAGUUACAAGUGAGAAUACUAAUGAAGAAGUAAAAGACAAUGAUGAAGAUAGUGAUGAGGAUUCUGACGUUGAUGAUGAAAAUGAUAACUUUGAUCAAGAUCAAUUCCGAGAGGAGAUGGCUGAUUAUAUGCGGAAUGAUUAGAUGGCAGGAGAUGAUUCAGAUGAAGAAAUGUAUGAUUCUUCAUAUGAAUCACAAGAAGAUACAAACUGAAUCCAUUUGUCUUUUGUCCUAACUACUUGAACUAGACUUGGUUUCAUUUUAAGAUUUUGUAAUUUAAACUACAUGAACAUGUUUUGUGUGUCUUGGCUUGUAAUAACUUUUUUAAGUUCAUGGUUUCACUAUUAAUAUGCGUUCUUUGGAAUAUUAUGCUUUUUUUUUUUUAUGGUUACAGUUAUUUUCUCUUUUUUUUUUUUUAGCUGAAUAUUUGAUCAGGAUUCAUUGUAGCAAAGAUUGAUGUAGUUUAGGGUUCUAACUCAAAAAUUGCUACAUGGCCUUCUGAGAUAUCUCACUGCUUUCUGGAGCGUCCUCUUCACCAACAACAAAAGGGAAAGAAUGGAGAUAAUGGAUUGAAAAAAUAACAAUUUCAAGUAGUCUCAACUGAAUUAUAUGAUAGAUUUCAUAUGAAAUAUGAUUGGGGACAGUGCCGCAAUCACUACAGGAUAUGGAAAGCAAGGUUGAAGUCGCUUGUUGACUUGUAAAAAAAUAGUGGAAUGGGUUGGAAUGACCAUGAGAAGCAGUUUGAUGCACCACAACAUAUGUGGAAUGAAUUCAAGAAAAAAUAACAAAGAUUUUGGAAAGAGCAUAGAGUGCUUCCCAUUCACCUACAAAUUGUUGAAUGGCUGCGCAAAGAAAUUGCUACCGGGGCUGGAUCUUCACACCCAUCCGAUGCCAUCAAUGAGGACCAGCCUUACAUUCCAGUGCCAAUUGAUGAAGAAGUUAGCUUAGACAAUUAUGAUGCUAUUGAUGAUAAUGUUGGUGAAAAUGCCCAUUAUACUCCCAAUGCAAGUAGCAGUCGUUCCCGUGGUAGGCCUAGUUCAGGGGCAACAAGUAAAGAGAAGAAGAAGAAAGGAGGUGCAGAGAAGGUUAGUAGUCCUUUGAAGGUGAUAGCCAAUGCAAUUGUGGAGAUGGCCAAGCAAGACCCCCGGAAGGAAUUUGCAAAAAAAUUAUGUAUUGAGAUUGAUGCACUUCCAGGAGUUGAGUUUGAUAAAAAAAUUGCGUGCUAAACAAUUCUUCAUGCAACAUAAGGAAUUGGCUUCCAUCUUCUUGAAUGCCAAUGAGGCAGAUAAGCCUAGGGUGUUUGAACACUACAUGAAGAAUAUCGAAGAUGGUGGUCAAGAUUGAGGACAAUUUAUGACAAACAUUUGAAAUGCUUAUUUUGGUGAUGUAAUAGUGACUCGAUUUUUGAACUCUCUCAUUUAAACUGAUCAGCUGGUGAUUGGUAAGCUUCUGUAAGUAGGUAUUAUGAGUUUUAUUGGAAAGUAACAGAGUUGGAUGUCUGUUUAUCUAGAAUGCUCGUGGAAAUAUAUGGUAAAUCAGUUUUUUC
Molecule: long non-coding RNA, 2768 nt
Organism: Macadamia integrifolia
Lineage: Eukaryota; Viridiplantae; Streptophyta; Magnoliopsida; Proteales; Proteaceae
Exons: 4
Source: RefSeq, a predicted model, not a curated record